RNAcentral lists this transfer RNA (72 nucleotides) under Cryptopone sauteri. Its description in RNAcentral is "tRNA-Ala". Lineage: Eukaryota; Metazoa; Arthropoda; Insecta; Hymenoptera; Formicidae. The record is from RNAcentral.
AGGACGUUAGUUAAUUUAUAACAUUUAAAUUGCAUUUAAAAAUUAUAUAAAUUUAUAUAUAUAUACAUCUUU